UUCAAUUUUUUCUGUGAACUCCCAAAAGUAGCGUGAGAGUUACCGUUGAUUAUAUUCACAAAUUAGAAAACACGGAGAGAGAGAGAUGAGAUUUCGCGCGGCAUUUAGGGUUUGUGAGAGCAGGGACAGAGCACCAUUUCUGCUUCAACCUCAAGCUUCGCGUUCCUUCUCUCAGCUUCCAUUAUUUAAACCCCCAACGAAAUGAAGAAGGCACAGUUUGUCACUAUACAAAAUGCAAAGUUGUAGUAGAGAGUUAAAGAAUUGGAGAAGCAAGAGGCCCAAAUUGAUCUGGAGGAAAAUUUUACUCAUUGAGAGGGAGAAGAACUUCGUCUGCCAUUUACUUGAUGAUAGUUGUUGUGAGCCAACUCCAACAAUAGCUUUACAUUAAGCUAGCAUCGUAACUGCUAUGGUUGAAAGCUCAAAGCUCUACAAAACACAACUAUAUAUCAACCAUCCAAAUUUAUGCCCCGAGAAAAGAACUGGAGGAAAAAGUGGAUGAGUUGCAAUCCAUGGACACCCUUAACCAAACUCUGAUACUUAAGGAGCACAGGAGUAACCUUGAGCUGCAACAUGCUCGCAAAGAAUUGAUAAAUGGUUUGCAAGAUAUUUGGAAUGACCAAGACCUUUUUGGAAUCAAAAGAAUGGGCGAGGUUAAUGAGAAACCAUUUAAAGGUGUGCGCUUCAAAAAAUUCCCUAAUGAUUGGGAUCUAAAAUCAGCAGAGCUAAUUUCACUGUGGCAAGCCAAUGUUAGUAAUCCAAUGUGGCAUCCUUUCAAAGCAGAAUUUGUUGAUGGAAAAUUGCAGGCAGGAAGUAAUAGAUAAAUGUGAUAGUAAGCUAAAGGAGUUGAGGAGUGUAUGGGGAGAGGAAGUGUACAAGGCUGUAGCAGAUUCAUUGCUGGAAUUGAAUGACUACAACUCAAGUGGGAGGUAUGUAGUUCCUGAACUUUGGAAUUUCAAUGAGGGAAGAAAAGCCAGUCUGAAAGAGGUAAUUAACAACAUGAUCGAAGAGUUGAAGACGCUCAAAGUCUCUUAAGGGUAGAAGAUGAUGACAAUGAUAUCUAGUCUAGCAGUGGUAUUGUGUUGGACUCUGGUGAUGGUGUCAGUCAUACAAUUCCCAUAUAUGAGGGGUAUGCCCUCCCACAUGCCAUUCUUUGUCUAGACCUGGCUGGCCAUGACCUCACAGAUCACUUGAAGAAAAUUCUUACGGAGCGUGGUAAUUCUUUCACCACCACAGCCUAGCGGGAAAUUGUGAGGGACAUGAACGAAAAGCUGGCUUACAUUGCCCUUGACUACGAGCAGGAGAUUGAGACUUCCAAGACCCUCUCUUCAGUUGAGAAGAGCUAUGAGUUACCAGAUGGGCAGGUCAUCACCAUUGGUGCUGAGCGGUUCUGAUGCCCUGAGGUUCUAUUCCAACCAUCCAUGAUAGGAAUGGAAGCAACAGGCAUUCAUGAGACCACAUAUAACUCCAUCAUGAAGUGUGAUGUUGAUAUCAGGAAGGACCCGUUUGGAAACACUGUCCUCUCAGGUGGUUCAACCAUGUUCCUAGGCAUUGCUGAUAGAAUGAGCAAGGAAUCUGCACUAGCCCCCAAGCAGUAUGAAGGUCAAGGUGGUGGCUCCACCCGGGAGGAAGUACAGUGUCUGGAUUGGAGGAUCUAUCUUGGCAUCACUUAGCACCUUCCAGUAGAUGUGGAUCGCAAAGGCGGAGUAUGAUGAAUCUGGGCCAUGAAUUGUGCAUAGGAAAAUGCUUCUAUAAAUGUUCGAGAAUAGGAUCUUUGAAGAAACAAAGUUCUGUUUUUAUUUCUUAGAACAAAGUGGUGCUUGCAACUCUUUGUUCUAGCUUUGUUAUCACUUUAUGUUAUUCGCAUGUUGGAGUGAUGACUAUUUUUUGGAAGGUGAGGAGUUGAAUUUGAAAA
This is an RNA transcript of Quercus lobata, 1912 nucleotides long. It is a transcript of the gene named factor of DNA methylation 1-like, with no coding region annotated. Lineage: Eukaryota; Viridiplantae; Streptophyta; Magnoliopsida; Fagales; Fagaceae. The transcript is spliced from 7 exons. The record is from RefSeq and is a predicted model, not a curated record.